ACGAGUGAUUCCCAAAAAUCGAAUAUUUUCUAAAACAAAGUGAGGCUUCAGCUUAAUUCAGUGAUAAUGGAGAGAGAGUGAGGAGGCACUCUCCUCAGUCCUCACUCUGUCACUCAACAUUCACCAACCCCAGCUCCAAGUCUCCAACUCCAACUCCAACUCCAUCUCCAUCCUUGUUAAUUUGUUAUUUUCUCUCUCCUCAAUUUCUGAUGCUAAUAAUUUCAACUAACACACAAAAUGAAGCACAGGAUUGAAUCCAUUCGUCAUAAUCGUCAGAGUUCAACCAUUACCAAACAUGUUUUACUUGGAUUAAUCCUAUUUCUUGGGUUGUUUUGUCUGUAUUUUGGGUAUUUUGUAAUUCCCAAUUCUCCAACGCUUUACCAUAAUCAUUCCGUCGUUGAUAAUGGCGUCGAUCCCGUUGUCGGUAGUAUUCUUAUCAAUCAAGAUAGCUUCAAUCACAAGCUUCAUCUUCAACACCUUCAUUCUAUUCCAAUAUGUGACAUUAAAUUGUCAGAGUUGAUACCGUGCUUGGAUAGAAAUUUAAUUUACCAAUUGAGGUUAAAGGUAAAUCUUACGUUAAUGGAGCACUAUGAACGCCACUGCCCACCUCAUGGGCGACGUUACAACUGUCUUAUUCCGCCGCCAAAUGGUUACAAGAUACCUGUCAGAUGGCCUGCUAGCAGAGAUGAAGUGUGGAAAGCAAACAUACCUCACACGCACCUUGCACAAGAGAAAUCUGACCAACAUUGGAUGGUUGUGAAUGGUGAGAAGAUAAAUUUUCCUGGUGGUGGAACCCAUUUUCAUGACGGUGCUGAUAAGUACAUUAUUGCUCUCGCUAGGAUGCUUAAGUUUCCAAGUGAAAAGCUUAGCAAUGGUGGGAAUAUAAGAACCGUUCUUGAUGUGGGAUGUGGAGUGGCAAGUUUUGGUGCAUAUCUUCUUUCCCAUGAUAUUAUGGCCAUGUCAUUAGCACCUAAUGAUGUACAUGAAAAUCAAAUUCAGUUUGCACUGGAGAGAGGAAUUCCAUCUACUCUUGGUGUUUUGGGAACAAAAAGACUUCCGUACCCCAGCAGGUCUUUCGAACUGGCCCAUUGCUCUAGAUGUAGGAUUGAUUGGCUUCAGCGAGAUGGGAUUCUUUUGUUGGAGCUAGAUAGAAUACUGAGACCAGGUGGAUAUUUUGUUUACUCCUCUCCUGAAGCAUAUGCUCAAGAUUCAGAAAAUAGAAGAAUAUGGAAUUCAAUGUAUAGCCUAUUAAGGAGGAUGUGCUGGAGAGUUGUUUCAAAGAAAGACCAAAGUGUUAUAUGGGCAAAGCCACUGAGCAACAGCUGUUAUUUGAAGAGGGAACCUGGAACCAGACCUCCAUUAUGUAGUGUAGAUGAUAGUCCGGAUGAAUCUUGGAAUAUUUCGAUGAAAACAUGCAUUACUCCUUAUUCAGCAAAGAUGCACAAGGGAAAAGGGAGCGGUUUGCUUCCUUGGCCACAAAGGCUUACUGCGUCUCCACCUCGCUUGGAGGAUUUUGGCAUCAGUGUAGAGGAAUUCCAAGCUGACACUAGCACAUGGAGUUUUAGAGUGAGUGAGUAUUGGAACCUAAUGAGACCUGCUUUACAAAAGUACACACCGCGUAAUGUCAUGGACAUGAACUCCAAUCUUGGAGGAUUUUCUGCUGCUUUGAAUGAUAAAGAAGUCUGGGUCAUGAAUGUUGCCCCUAUUCAUUCUGCAUCGAAGCUGAAGAUCAUCUAUGACAGAGGCCUCAUUGGAACUGUGCAUGACUGGUGUGAAGCAUUUUCUACAUAUCCACGCACCUAUGAUCUACUGCAUGCCUGGGCGGUAUUUUCAGAUAUUUUAGAAAGGGGCUGCAGCUCGGAAGAUCUUUUGAUUGAAAUGGAUAGAAUUCUUAGACCAGAGGGCUUCGUAAUCAUCAGAGAUCAUCCUUCAGUCAUAAACUACUUACAUAAAUAUUUAAUUGCCUUGCGUUGGGAUGGAUGGGUUUUGGAGGUGGAACCGACGGUGGAUAUUUUGUCAAGUAAUGAAGAAAGGCUCCUAAUUGCACGUAAGAAGCUCUGGAGAUAUGGUGAUACGGCCAGCUGAAAGGAGCUCUAAGAAGGUGUGCUUAUGAUUGUGAAGAAUCCAUGAUCGGCCUUGUGAAAGAAAAUCAUAUCAUGGUUAGCAAUUUUGUCAAGUUACCUCAUCGUCUGUAAACUGCAAUGGUCGUAUGAGAACUACUUCUAUUUUGCGGAGAUGAACUACUUCUAUAAAACAAACCAAAGGAUACGAAAUGCAAUAAGGCGCUCUGGAUUUAGGGUACGGAAGUUUGAUGCUAAGAAUUUCUUAAAAUGUGGAGUAUCUUAAAUGGGAAUCGUUGGAACUGAUUCUAAGAAAGUUAGACAUGAUGACAAGAUAAAUAAAAUGCAGGCAUCAGUUAACAGAGAUUACUGGUAAGUGGUAAUACAAGAAAAUCCAGGUUGAACUGCAAAAUGUGACCAUCUAGAAUUCUUGUUCUUUCACAAGUUCUAAAAGAGGGUGACAGACAGGAAGGAAGACUAGGGUUGGAUAUUGGUUUGGUUAUUUUCUUCUACAACUUCCUGAAGCUGCAACCCCGACUUGAGCGAAACCAUACUUUCCAUGUACGCAAUAACUCCGUGACAUGUCCGGUCAUACUGAAAUUCAAGAUCCUUUAGCUCAUUUGAUUCAUCUUCAUCUUCAUCUUCAUCUUCAUCUUCAGCUGCUGUUGUACUAAAAACCUUUGAUAACAACCACCUUGUAGUCUCUACUUAGAGGAUCAAUCCCAAAACCCUAAUUCUCCCACUUCUGAGGUUCUGUAUUAGACGGUAGAUUGGGUUUGCUAAUCAAUGGAGGCAAGACUUUGUCACUUUGAGUUCAUUGAUGGCUGGGUUCCACAAAGCACGAUCACUAAAUCCAUACUCAUAAAGAUAAUAUAAUCCAUCACAAGGACCGCAGACAAAUGAGCUGUGUAAUGGGGAGGAACUUAGCACUUGAGUUGAGAAGUUAAAGCACGAGGGGUUUCAUCCAUAAACAACUCAAUCAACAAAAGUACGCCGUGGCCAACAUAAUAUUGAACAAGGAGACAAUUGCGCCAACUAUCGUUCUUCUUAUAAUAGUUAUUCAGAUGUUUGGAUAUGAAAUUAGGAGUUGAAAUAAUAGAAUACCAUGAUUUGCACACACUUUUGUGCCGUAACAAAUCUUUUACAGGCACCCAUGUCAGAAUCUCAAUGAUGAGACUUUCCGGUAAAUCUAUGUUU
Molecule: RNA transcript, 3257 nt
Organism: Spinacia oleracea (spinach)
Lineage: Eukaryota; Viridiplantae; Streptophyta; Magnoliopsida; Caryophyllales; Amaranthaceae
Gene name: probable methyltransferase PMT9
Exons: 9
Source: RefSeq, a predicted model, not a curated record